Molecule: non-coding RNA, 104 nt
Organism: Schistosoma haematobium
Lineage: Eukaryota; Metazoa; Platyhelminthes; Trematoda; Strigeidida; Schistosomatidae
Source: Rfam
AAUCAAUACCAUACCAUGUUGAAAGCACCGGUUCUCGUCCGAUCACUGCAGGUAAGCAACGUUGGGCCCGGUCAGUACUUGUAUACCUCUAAAUGCCUUGAUAC